Molecule: ribosomal RNA, 527 nt
Filed under: uncultured bacterium
Lineage: Bacteria
Description: bacterial SSU rRNA
Rfam family: Bacterial small subunit ribosomal RNA
Source: RNAcentral
AAUAGAUACCCGGGUAGUCCACGCCGUAAACGAUGAGUGCUAGGUGUUGGAGGGAAACCUUCGGUGCCGCAGCUAACGCAUUAAGCACUCCGCCUGGGGAGUACGUACGCAAGUAUGAAACUCAAAGGAAUUGACGGGGACCCGCACAAGCAGCGGAGCAUGUGGUUUAAUUCGAAGCAACGCGAAGAACCUUACCAGGGCUUGACAUGCCCCUGCCCGCUCUAGAGAUAGGGCUUUACCCUUCGGGGUACAGGGGACACAGGUGGUGCAUGGUUGUCGUCAGCUCGUGUCGUGAGAUGUUGGGUUAAGUCCCGCAACGAGCGCAACCCUUGCCUUUAGUUGCCAUCAUUAAGUUGGGCACUCUAGAGGGACUGCCGAUGAGAAAUCGGAGGAAGGUGGGGAUGACGUCAAAUCAUCAUGCCCUUUAUGUCCUGGGCUACACACGUGCUACAAUGGUCGGUACAACGAGCAGCAACACAGUGAUGUGAAGCAAAUCUCUAAAAGCCGAUCCCAGUUCGGAUUGCAGG